AGAAGGAGAGGGGGAUGCUGCAGCGGCGCUUACUACCAAUCAAAUAGCGCUGCUGCGGCUCCCUGCUCCCCCUCCCUCCUCCUCCUUCUCACCUCACACAGCCUGCACCGAGAGGGAGCUGCACGAGGAGCCUGUCAGCGGGGAGAAGGUACCGCACAAGCAGCCAAACAGGCCGUUUAACACCUGGAUGGUGCAUAGGAUCAGAGAGAUGCCAGUAGUGGAAAGAACCAUGGAAAACAGGACUAUAUUAAACAACGCCACGUCUUUGGGAUAGAUACAUGCAUUCCACAUAUCCUGGUUGAACAGGCCAGAAUAUAUUGACCCAAUGGUUUUUCACAACAUAAUGAUCAGAAACAUCGGCUGAAAUGAUGAAGGAGUUGCCACCACUAUGUUAGAUAAUACACUAGGCAUCUGUGGUUGUAAAUCAUAAAGACAGAAAAUAAAUGUAGAAAAAUGAA
This is a long non-coding RNA of Pseudophryne corroboree (corroboree frog), 458 nucleotides long. RefSeq lists it as uncharacterized. The record is from RefSeq and is a predicted model, not a curated record. The transcript is spliced from 3 exons. NCBI's taxonomy places the organism in Eukaryota, Metazoa, Chordata, Amphibia, Anura, Myobatrachidae.